GAUGAACGCUGGCGGCGUGCCUAAUACAUGCAAGUCGAGCGAACGGACGAGAAGCUUGCUUCUCUGAUGUUAGCGGCGGACGGGUGAGUAACACGUGGAUAACCUACCUAUAAGACUGGGAUAACUUCGGGAAACCGGAGCUAAUACCGGAUAAUAUUUUGAACCGCAUGGUUCAAAAGUGAAAGACGGUCUUGCUGUCACUUAUAGAUGGAUCCGCGCUGCAUUAGCUAGUUGGUAAGGUAACGGCUUACCAAGGCAACGAUGCAUAGCCGACCUGAGAGGGUGAUCGGCCACACUGGAACUGAGACACGGUCCAGACUCCUACGGGAGGCAGCAGUAGGGAAUCUUCCGCAAUGGGUGAAAGCCUGACGGAGCAACGCCGCGUGAGUGAUGAAGGUCUUCGGAUCGUAAAACUCUGUUAUUAGGGAAGAACAUAUGUGUAAGUAACUGUGCACAUCUUGACGGUACCUAAUCAGAAAGCCACGGCUAACUACGU
This 496-nucleotide ribosomal RNA is filed under the name uncultured bacterium. RNAcentral describes it as "partial 16S ribosomal RNA". It matches the Rfam family "Bacterial small subunit ribosomal RNA", at positions 28 to 506 of the family's 1533-position model. The record is from RNAcentral.